GCUUAAAAUCUUUAGACAGUCCUCAAUGAGAAGAAGAGCUGCAGCAUUAACGGAUAUUCAGCCUCUGAAGAAGCAGAGAGUCUUUUGAUUCUAUUGCUUUUUACUGUCAGUAAUCAGUUCAAUAGCAGUUGAAACUUGAAAGGAUAGAUCUCAGAGUUCCUCAUUACAAACAAAGGCAGCAUAACCUUCCACUGCAGAUUCUAGUUACUUGUAGUUCUGGUGCUGUAGUAGCUGGGAUUCAACAUUUGAGAAG
RNAcentral lists this unclassified non-coding RNA (253 nucleotides) under Hevea brasiliensis (rubber tree). The record is from RNAcentral. Lineage: Eukaryota; Viridiplantae; Streptophyta; Magnoliopsida; Malpighiales; Euphorbiaceae.